This 2905-nucleotide ribosomal RNA is filed under the name Enterobacter bugandensis. RNAcentral's name for it is "23S ribosomal RNA". It matches the Rfam family "Bacterial large subunit ribosomal RNA". The record is from RNAcentral. Lineage: Bacteria; Pseudomonadati; Pseudomonadota; Gammaproteobacteria; Enterobacterales; Enterobacteriaceae.
GGUUAAGCGACUAAGCGUACACGGUGGAUGCCCUGGCAGUCAGAGGCGAUGAAGGACGUGCUAAUCUGCGAAAAGCGACGGCGAGGUGAUAUGAACCUUUGACCCGUCGAUGUCCGAAUGGGGAAACCCAGUGUGAUUCGUCACACUAUCGUUAACUGAAUACAUAGGUUAACGAGGCGAACCGGGGGAACUGAAACAUCUAAGUACCCCGAGGAAAAGAAAUCAACCGAGAUUCCCCCAGUAGCGGCGAGCGAACGGGGAGCAGCCCGGAGUCUGAAUCAGCUUGUGUGUUAGUGGAAGCGUCUGGAAAGUCGCACGGUACAGGGUGACAGUCCCGUACACGAAAAUGCACAGGUUGUGAACUCGAAGAGUAGGGCGGGACACGUGGUAUCCUGUCUGAAUAUGGGGGGACCAUCCUCCAAGGCUAAAUACUCCUGACUGACCGAUAGUGAACCAGUACCGUGAGGGAAAGGCGAAAAGAACCCCGGCGAGGGGAGUGAAAAAGAACCUGAAACCGUGUACGUACAAGCAGUGGGAGCACCUUCGUGGUGUGACUGCGUACCUUUUGUAUAAUGGGUCAGCGACUUAUAUUCUGUAGCAAGGUUAACCGUAUAGGGGAGCCGAAGGGAAACCGAGUCUUAACUGGGCGUUAAGUUGCAGGGUAUAGACCCGAAACCCGGUGAUCUAGCCAUGGGCAGGUUGAAGGUUGGGUAACACUAACUGGAGGACCGAACCGACUAAUGUUGAAAAAUUAGCGGAUGACCUGUGGCUGGGGGUGAAAGGCCAAUCAAACCGGGAGAUAGCUGGUUCUCCCCGAAAGCUAUUUAGGUAGCGCCUCGUGAACUCAUCUUCGGGGGUAGAGCACUGUUUCGGCUAGGGGGCCAUCCCGGCUUACCAACCCGAUGCAAACUACGAAUACCGAAGAAUGUUAUCACGGGAGACACACGGCGGGUGCUAACGUCCGUCGUGAAGAGGGAAACAACCCAGACCGCCAGCUAAGGUCCCAAAGUCAUGGUUAAGUGGGAAACGAUGUGGGAAGGCACAGACAGCCAGGAUGUUGGCUUAGAAGCAGCCAUCAUUUAAAGAAAGCGUAAUAGCUCACUGGUCGAGUCGGCCUGCGCGGAAGAUGUAACGGGGCUAAACCAUGCACCGAAGCUGCGGCAGCGACGCUUAUGCGUUGUUGGGUAGGGGAGCGUUCUGUAAGCCGUUGAAGGUGUGCUGUGAGGCAUGCUGGAGGUAUCAGAAGUGCGAAUGCUGACAUAAGUAACGAUAAAGCGGGUGAAAAGCCCGCUCGCCGGAAGACCAAGGGUUCCUGUCCAACGUUAAUCGGGGCAGGGUGAGUCGACCCCUAAGGCGAGGCCGAAAGGCGUAGUCGAUGGGAAACAGGUUAAUAUUCCUGUACUUGGUGUUACUGCGAAGGGGGGACGGAGAAGGCUAUGUCAGCCGGGCGACGGUUGUCCCGGUUUAAGCGUGUAGGUGUGUGUUCCAGGCAAAUCCGGUUCACUUUAACACUGAGGCGUGAUGACGAGGCACUACGGUGCUGAAGUGAUAAAUGCCCUGCUUCCAGGAAAAGCCUCUAAGCAUCAGGUAACACGAAAUCGUACCCCAAACCGACACAGGUGGUCAGGUAGAGAAUACCAAGGCGCUUGAGAGAACUCGGGUGAAGGAACUAGGCAAAAUGGUGCCGUAACUUCGGGAGAAGGCACGCUGAUAUGUAGGUGAAGUCCCUGCGGACGGAGCUGAAAUCAGUCGAAGAUACCAGCUGGCUGCAACUGUUUAUUAAAAACACAGCACUGUGCAAACACGAAAGUGGACGUAUACGGUGUGACGCCUGCCCGGUGCCGGAAGGUUAAUUGAUGGGGUUAGCGGCAACGCGAAGCUCUUGAUCGAAGCCCCGGUAAACGGCGGCCGUAACUAUAACGGUCCUAAGGUAGCGAAAUUCCUUGUCGGGUAAGUUCCGACCUGCACGAAUGGCGUAAUGAUGGCCAGGCUGUCUCCACCCGAGACUCAGUGAAAUUGAACUCGCUGUGAAGAUGCAGUGUACCCGCGGCAAGACGGAAAGACCCCGUGAACCUUUACUAUAGCUUGACACUGAACACUGGUCCUUGAUGUGUAGGAUAGGUGGGAGGCUUUGAAGCGUGGACGCCAGUCUGCGUGGAGCCGUCCUUGAAAUACCACCCUUUAAUGGCUGGUGUUCUAACGUGGACCCGUGAUCCGGGUUGCGGACAGUGUCUGGUGGGUAGUUUGACUGGGGCGGUCUCCUCCCAAAGAGUAACGGAGGAGCACGAAGGUUAGCUAAUCCUGGUCGGACAUCAGGAGGUUAGUGCAAUGGCAUAAGCUAGCUUGACUGCGAGAGUGACGGCUCGAGCAGGUGCGAAAGCAGGUCAUAGUGAUCCGGUGGUUCUGAAUGGAAGGGCCAUCGCUCAACGGAUAAAAGGUACUCCGGGGAUAACAGGCUGAUACCGCCCAAGAGUUCAUAUCGACGGCGGUGUUUGGCACCUCGAUGUCGGCUCAUCACAUCCUGGGGCUGAAGUAGGUCCCAAGGGUAUGGCUGUUCGCCAUUUAAAGUGGUACGCGAGCUGGGUUUAGAACGUCGUGAGACAGUUCGGUCCCUAUCUGCCGUGGGCGCUGGAGAAUUGAGGGGGGCUGCUCCUAGUACGAGAGGACCGGAGUGGACGCAUCACUGGUGUUCGGGUUGUCAUGCCAAUGGCACUGCCCGGUAGCUAAAUGCGGAAGAGAUAAGUGCUGAAAGCAUCUAAGCACGAAACUUGCCCCGAGAUGAGUUCUCCCUGAGACUUUAAGUCUCCUGAAGGAACGUUGAAGACGACGACGUUGAUAGGCCGGGUGUGUAAGCGCAGCGAUGCGUUGAGCUAACCGGUACUAAUGAACCGUGAGGCUUAACCUU